GGCCUCUACAGCCAUCUGAAGACCAACCAGGAUCGGUCUCUACAGCCAUCUGAAGACCCACCUGGAUCGGCCUCUACAGCCAUCUGAAGACCACAUGGAUCGGCCUCUACAGCCAUCUGAAGACCACAUGGAUCGGCCUCUACAGCCAUCUGAAGACCACAUGGAUCGGCCUCUACAGCCAUCUGAAGACCACAUGGAGGACAAUCAUACUGGACUAGAGUGAUCGCCGAUGAUGAUGAUGGUAAAAUAAUGGUAAACUGAAUGUUAAGUUGGUUAAGUAAAGUUCAUAAGUUUACCUGCUAGCGUGAUAAAGUGAUGGUAAAGUAAUGGUAAAGUGAUGGUAAAGUGAUGGUUAAAGUGAUGGUGAAGUGACGGUUAAAGUGAUGGUUAAAGUGGUGGUAAAGUGAUGGUUAAAGUGAUGGUGAAGAAAUGGUUAAAGUGAUGGUGAAGUGAUGGUUAAAGUGAUGGUAAAGUGAUGGUUAAAGUGAUGGUGAAGUGAUGGUUAAAGUGAUGGUUAAAGUGAUGGUUAAAGUGAUGGUUAAAGUGAUGGUUAAAGUGAUGGUGAAGUGAUGGUUAAAGUGAUGGGAAAGUGAUAGUUAAAGUGAUGGUAAAGUGAUGGUUAAGUGAUGGUUAAAGUGAUGGUCAAGUGAAGGUUAAAGUGAUGGUAAAGUGAUGGUUAAAGUGAUGGUCAAGUGAAGGUCAAGUGAUGGUUAAAGUGAUGGUUAAAGUGAUGGUAAAGUGAUGGUUAAGUGAUGGUUAAAGUGAUGGUAAAGUGAUUGUCAAGUGAAGGUUAAAGUGAUGGUUAAAGUGAUGGUUGAAGUGAUGGUUAAAGUGAUGGUGAAGUGAUGGUUAAAGUGAUGGUUAAAGUGAUGGUGAAGUGAUGGUUAAAGUGAUGGUUAAAGUGAUGGUGAAGUGAUGGUUAAAGUGAUGGGAAAGUGAUAGUUAAAGUGAUGGUAAAGUGAUGGUUAAGUGAUGGUUAAAGUGAUGGUCAAGUGAAGGUCAAGUGAUGGUUAAAGUGAUGGUUAAAGUGAUGGUAAAGUGAUGGUAAAGUGAUUGUCA
Molecule: long non-coding RNA, 1059 nt
Organism: Oncorhynchus tshawytscha (Chinook salmon)
Lineage: Eukaryota; Metazoa; Chordata; Actinopteri; Salmoniformes; Salmonidae
Source: Ensembl